AGACAUUAAGCGUGCACGGUGGAUGCCUUGGCCUAGGACGGCUAAGAAGGACGCGACUAACCUGCGAAAAGCUUCGGGGAGGCGGUUUGUAGCCUUUGAUCCGGAGAUAUCCGAAUGAGGAAACUCAUCCUGUUUUUAACGGGAUAUCACGACGGUAACACGUCGGGAAGCGAACCCGGGGAAGUGAAACAUCUCAGUACCCGGAGGAAAAGAGAACAAUAUGAGUUGCGUUCCGUCCUGACGAAAUUUAUUUCGAACGGAUGGAACGCAACUCUCGUGAUUCCCCUAGUAGCGGCGAGCGAAAAGGGGGAAGCCCAAACUGGGACCUGAAUUUAAGGUUCGACCUUAAUGAAUAAUUCACAAGGUCGAACCUUGGCUUCAGGUUCCAGGGUUGUAAGAUGUGAACACCCAAUUUAUUGGAAAAGAGUUACAAAAUGUCUGUAUAGCGGAAGCUGCUGGGAAGCAGCGCCCCAGAGGGUAAUGGCCCCGUACGCGAAAUACAUGAUGACUCUUGUUUAUAUUCUUGAGUAACUCGAGACACGAAUAGCUCGAGUGAAUCUGCCGGAACUAACCGGUAAGGCUGAAUACGUCCUAUGACCGAUAGUGAACUAGUACCGUGAGGGAAAGGUGAAAAGAACCCCGAGAGGGGAAUGAAAUAGACCUGAAACCGUGUACGUACAAGGGGUCGGAGUGGAUUCCCGCAAGGGUUUACCAUGACGGCAUGCCUAUUGAAGAAUGAGCCGGCGAGUGUAUAUAUCUUGCAUAGCUAAGCCCUUCCGGGGCGGAGCUUCAGGGAAACCGAGCGUGAAUAGCGCUACAAGUAGGAUAUAUACGACCCGAAGCCAGAUGAGCUUGCCAUGAGCAGGGUGAAGUCCGUCGAAAGACGAAUGGAGGCCCGAACCCGUAGGUCGUUCAACGCCUUGGGAUGACUUGUGGUAAGGAGUGAAAAGCUAAUCGAAUCUGGGAAUAGCUGGUUCUCUCCGAAACAGCUUUUGGGCUGGCGUUGCGAAAGGUGUGCAUGGGGGUAGAGCACUGGAAGGGACCAACAGGGAGAAAUCUCGUGGUUCCUAUCAAACUCCGAAUACCAUGCGCUCGCGCAGCAGUUAGAAGGUGGGGGCGAAGCUCCAUCGAUCGAGAGGGGAAGAGCCCUGAUCGCCAAUUAAGGCCCCAAAAUCGACAUUCAGUACAUCAACAAGGAAGUGAGGGUCCACUGACAGUGAGGAUGUUGGCUUAGAAGCAGCCACCAUUUAAAGAAAGCGUAACAGCUCACUCAUCGAGGAUCCUUGCGCCAAAGAUGAUCGGGGUUAAAUGUCGUGCCGAAAUUGCGGGUUCCGGAACAUCAGUUUGGAUUUAAAGGUCUGACUUUUUUGAAUUCUUAAAGUAAGACUUUGGAAUUCAAUCCAAACUGAUGUUCCGGAGCGGUAGGAGAGCGUUCCGUUCGCGCUGAAGCUUAAGGGGUAACCCAAGGUGGAGCGUACGGAAGUGAGAAUGCCGGUACAAGUAACCACAAUGCAGGUGAGAACCCUGCACGUCGAAAGACCAAGGUUUCCUCAGCUAUGGUGAUCAACUGAGGGUUAGUCGGGCCUAAGGGGAUGGCGAAAGCCGCACCCGAUGGACACACGGUCAAUAUUCCGUGACCGUUUUUAGAGGCUAUGGAGUGACGAACUGCUGUAUGCACUGCCGGUUAUUGGAUUCCGGUUGUUGGUAUGAGGGCGCGCGUUAGGCAAAUCCGGCGCGCACUAUCCCAAGUACUGACACAAUUUCCUCCUACGGGGGGAGAAAGAGCGCACAGCGCGGUUUCAAGAAAAUCUUCUACGCACCAACUCUAAAGACGACCGUACCGCACACCGACACAGGUGGUCAGGUCGAGAAGACUAAGACGAACGAGUAAGAUGUCCUCAAGGAACUCGGCAAAAAAGCGGCCGUAAGUUAGCGAUAAGGCCUUCCCUCACCACUUUUGAUGCUCAAAAGUGGUGAGGGACGCAGUGAAAGUUUUUCUGGCAACUGUUUACCAAAAACACAGCUCCCUGCAAANNNNNNNNNNNNNACCAAUGCCGAAAGGUUAACCACGGUGGGUUCUUUAUAGCAAUAUAAAGAGCUGGACUGUGUAAGCCCCGGUGAAUGUCGGCGAUAACUAUAAGAUGAUUGUAGUUAAUAAAUUCGGCCAUAUGCUGGAAACCCCGAGUAUCUUCAAGUACUAGCCGCAAGGCAGUGAAAAUCUUGAAGUGCGGGCAAUCAGCAGGAAAGGCUCGCAAGCUUCAUAGAGGAAAUGUUCUUUAAGAUUAUCUCCCCUAUAGCUCAACAAUAGAGAGCAACAAGGGGAGUCCCAUCUGGCAACUCGUACACGUCAAGUGUAUGAGUUGCCUCCUCUGUGAAGCUUGUGAGAAUCCUCAGAGACUAAACGCCGAACUCAACUCUCUUAAUUGAGAACAACGAGAUGAUAUAGNNNNNNNNNNNNNNNNNNNNNUCCUAAGGUAGCGUAAUUCCUUGUCGGGUAAGUUCCGACGUGCACGAAUGGUGUAAUGACUGGAAAACUGUCUCGAGGACUCGCUCGGUGAAAAUGCACUUCCGGUGAAGAUGCCGGAUACCUGUAGUUAGACGAAAAGACCCCAGGAGCUUUACUACAGCUUCGUAUUGGCAUUGCGUGCUGCAUGCGUAGCAUAGAUGGGAGGAUUUGAAGCAUCGGUUUCGGCUGGUGUGGAUCCAUCAGUGAAAUACCAUUCUUGUUGUGUGCAAUGUCUAACCCCGUUGGGAUCCAACGGGGGACCGUGCGUGGCGGGUAGUUUUGGUGGGGCGCUAUCCUCCUAAAAAGUAACGGAGGAGUCUAUUAAGGUUCUCUAGGCGCGAAUGGAAACCGUGCCGAUAGUGUAAUGGCAUAAGAGAGCUUAACUGCGAGACGUACAUGUCGAGCAGAUGCGAAAGCAGAGCAUAGUGAACCGAUGGUACGCCUUAGACGCGGCCAGAGAUUAACGGAUAUAAGUUACCCUGGGGAUAACAGGCUAGUUCCGCCCAAGCGUCCAUAGCGACGGCGGAGUUCGGCACCUCGAUGUCGGCUCACCUUAGCGCGGGGGUGGAGAAGCUCCCAAGCGUUUGGCUGUUCGCCAAUUAAAAAGGUACGCGAGCUGGGUUCAGACCGUUCAGUGUCUCAUUCAAGAUGUCAUCUUGAAAUGGGGAAUUGAGCGGUCUGAAUCCACGAGGUUAGUAAGACAAAAAUCACGGCGGUUGCGCGUAGGAAUACGCGCGAAGAAAUCAACUGAUAUCGAUGAAAUCCGAUCGCGUUGUGUACGCGAGGACAACACCGAGGGAAUGGUUCGACUCCGCUCACCAUGAGCGAUAAGAAUUGACCCGUAGAGACUGAAUGUUGAUCGUCGAGAACCGACGAAGUUACAGUCCGAUCCUCCGAGUAAUCGGAGUAAACGUAGAUGCGUGAGACAGGUUGGUCUCCUAUCUACUACAGGCGUUGAUUCUUGAGGAGGGUCGUCCCUAGUAAAGAAUUGCUACUUCAGAGAGAGAUCUCUGAUGAUAAUGUGGCUUAUAACGGUGAAGUCUACGGUGCUUCUGGUUUUAGAGUUUGAUAUCUCGCGGUCCUGUUGAUAUCAAACUCGCUUGAGGACCAGAAUAGCACUAUGAUAAUACCGUGGGAAGUCGAUCAAAAAUAAAUCUAGCGUAUGUCGCAGAUUUUCUUGAUGGCGAUGGCAGUCUUAUGUUUCAGAUAAAGAAGCGUAAAGACGGAGCGUUGAAAAAACGCCUUAUGGCUACUAUAUGCUUUUAUCAAGAUACGCGACAUGAAAGAGAAUUGUAUUGGAUUCAGCAGAGGUUCGGUAUCGGCUACAUUUCAAGAAGAAAUGACGGCAUGACUGAAUUGCGAAUCAAUGGGUAUGCGCAAGUGCGCGAUAUUCUAAAGAAGUUAAUUCCGUACAAAAGUUAUUCACCAUUUUUGGUUUGACCCCGUAACGACUCGCGCUGAAAGACGCGCGGACUCAUGUGUUGAGGAAUCGUUCCACAUAGAACGACAGCUCACAUGGGUAAGAUGCCAUCAUCCUCGUCCCGAUUAGUGGGAACGGAUGAAGAUAUAGUCUGCGCUCCUGGAAACAGGGGACGAAGCGACGAGAGGACCGGGAUGAACUGACCUCUGGUCUACCAGCUGUCCUGCCAAGGGCACCGCUGGGUAGCUAUGUCGGGUUGCGAUAACCGCUGAAAGCAUAUAAGCGGGAAACGUGCUCCAAGAUUAGGAAUCGUUAUGAGACUCCUAGGAGAUGACUAGGUUGAUAGGCUCUAGGUGGAAGCGCCGCAAGGCGUGGAGCCGAGGAGUACUAAUAUGUCCAGUCU
This 4329-nucleotide ribosomal RNA is filed under the name Candidatus Kaiserbacteria bacterium CG_4_8_14_3_um_filter_50_23. RNAcentral's name for it is "bacterial LSU rRNA". The stretch from base 1 to 3188 matches the Rfam family "Bacterial large subunit ribosomal RNA". The record is from RNAcentral. Lineage: Bacteria; Candidatus Kaiseribacteriota.